UCUCCGAUCCAGGAUCUCCGAUCUUCGUCGUUACGUUUUCAUCUUCUUUAACUCCUUCCAAGUUCCAACAAUGGCUUCCUGAAUCCAACUCCAUCGUCUUCAUAGUCAACCUCAAAGAUCACAGAAUGGAGCUUGCUCUUUCCAUCCUCUUCCUCUCUCCCAACUUCUCCUCUUUUCUUCGUCCUGCUACUGCCAGAGGCGGCCUUCAUACUUCCUACCCUCCAGGUGGUUCUCUAUCUUAGCUACUGGAUUCCUUGAUUCAGAUGUGGAGAAAUUAGUCAUUACCAAUUCUUUUGUGGUUCACAGGUUUCCCUUGUUGCAAAUUAUCCAUGGGAUGGCACAUAGGAUAAAAGGUAAUCAAUUUACAUCCAUAAAAGUUCUGCGCUGAACCAUGCUUAUUGAUAAUUGUCUUCAUUCAUUUCCAAUAGACUUCUUCCGGCUGUACGUUGGCCUCAGUGUGAGUGUACGUUUUGAUCAUUAUUCAAUUUUACCUAUGAUGCUCAAUGUGUUCAGGUUUUUAAAUGUUUCUUUUAUAGUGUGAAACAAGCAUGAUGAUGUCAGUAUUAGGUCUUAAACUGUUACCGUAAUGUUAUGAACAUUGCCGAUUACUUCUAAUAUGAUUAUGGAUUUUCGAAUGGUGCCUAACAAUAUGUGUAAGGUCAAAGUAACACUAUCCCAGAAUUUAUAUGCUAAUGCUUAUAAAUUUUUAUUUUGCACAUACUCGUCUUUUGAUCGAAAUUAAAUUACGGGAAAGAUUAUCUUGCAUGUCCGGAUGACGAGACAUUCUGGUUCUUAGCAAGUGUAUACAGUCGCUCUCACUACAAUGUGUCAUUGAGCAAGGAAUUUGAGGGAGGCAUUACAAAUGGAGCUUUCUGGUAUGAUGGCUUGAAACAUUACAACUUAUUAUAGGUAUAAUUUAGCUGUUUGACGUGUUGUCUCAUGAUCAAAACAACAUGUUGUUUUGAUCAUGAGAAGAGUAAUCAUAAGUGCAUAGCAUUUUAAGUAUUCUCGAAAUAACUUCCUCUGUGUGAAACAUUUGACAUUUAGAGCAAAAAUUCUCCUAUGACACCAUUUCAGAUAUUUCAAACGUUUAAUUGUAGAUGGGUGUGAUAUCGUUUAACUACACUCAACUUAUACCCUUUAGCUAGGAGUAUAUGGAAGGAUCCUUUCAUCAGAUGGUGGUAGGCCGUUACCUGGCUUUAUUGCAAUCGAAGGAAUAAAUUCCAAGGUUCAAGCUAGCAGAGCAAUUGUGGAUUACCAUAGCUUGCUUGCCCCCGCCGGAAGAUAUAAGGUCACAGCUACUGUGCCUGGGUAUAAAUCAAAGACGACAUGUAUCUGGUUGGAAGAAGAAGGCACGACAAAUGGGGAUUUUGUUCUUGAUCCUGAAGUCAAUCCCAGAGAAAUUCAACUUCAAAGUGCCUGUGAUUGCGGCUGGGGAAGUAUGAGCAUCAUUUGGGGAACCCCUUUCGAAGUUUGAAGCUCUUUGCUUGAGCAAAUUUCCGGCCCAUUAGCACUGCCAGUGCUUCCGCCGCAUUGGGGGAAGAUAGGUGAGAGUGCAGGGAAACACCACCCAGGAAAGUGCCAUUGUGGUCACUGGUCACCCGCUAUAACUCUGGCUGGAUCUUCAAAGGCAACUCGAGUCCAUUGAGAAAUCAAAGAUACAUCUUAACCUCUGGCAAUGCUUAUACCUCUCAACUUUUGCCACAUUUCUGUACACUUCAUUCCAACAGGUCAGAAACCUUAAACCCUUUUACGCAAUUGAUUAGAUAUUUGCCAUUUUCAAUUGAAACCAGGUUUCAAUUCUUCGAACUUAUCAUCGUGUUUGGCACCCUAGUGUUACAAUUUUCUGGGAUUGGGAUGCCAAACCCCACCCAAGUCAGGCCCCGUUUGGGAUUGAGGUGAUUUUAAAAAAAGCCACUGUGAAAAAACGCUGAGGGUCAUUUUUGUGUUUGGUAA
Malus domestica (apple) is the source of this 1956-nucleotide non-coding RNA. The record is from RefSeq and is a predicted model, not a curated record. Lineage: Eukaryota; Viridiplantae; Streptophyta; Magnoliopsida; Rosales; Rosaceae.